UGGGGAAUUUUGGACAAUGGGCGAAAGCCUGAUCCAGCAAUGCCGCGUGUGUGAAGAAGGCCUUCGGGUUGUAAAGCACUUUUGUCCGGAAAGAAAUCCUUGGCUCUAAUACAGUCGGGGGAUGACGGUACCGGAAGAAUAAGCACCGGCUAACUACGUGCCAGCAGCCGCGGUAAUACGUAGGGUGCAAGCGUUAAUCGGAAUUACUGGGCGUAAAGCGUGCGCAGGCGGUUUGCUAAGACCGAUGUGAAAUCCCCGGGCUCAACCUGGGAACUGCAUGGUGACUGGCAGGCUAGAGUAUGGCAGAGGGGGGUAGAAUUCCACGUGUAGCAGUGAAAUGCGUAGAGAUGUGGAGGAAUACCGAUGGCGAAGGCAGCCCCCCUGGGCCAAUACUGACGCUCAUGCACGAAAGCGUGGGGAGCAAAACAGGAUUAGAUACCCUGGUAGUCCACGCCCCUAAAACGAUGUCAACUAGUUGUUGGGGAUUCAUUUUCCUUAGUAACGUAGCUAACGCGUGAAGUUGACCGCCUGGGGAGUACGGUCGC
Molecule: ribosomal RNA, 545 nt
Filed under: uncultured bacterium
Lineage: Bacteria
Description: partial 16S ribosomal RNA
Rfam family: Bacterial small subunit ribosomal RNA
Source: RNAcentral